GACGAACGCUGGCGGUAUGCUUAACACAUGCAAGUCGAACGCGACGAAGGUGCUUGCACCUUCAGAGAGUGGCGAACGGGUGAGUAACGCGUGGGUAACCUACCCUUUGGAAAGGAAUAGCCUCGGGAAACUGGGAGUAAUGCCUUAUAAGAUACAAAAGCCGCAUGGCUCAUGUAUUAAACGCUCCGGCGCCAAAGGAUGGACCCGCGUCCCAUUAGCUGGUUGGUGAGAUAACAGCCCACCAAGGCGACGAUGGGUAGCCGGUCUGAGAGGGCGAACGGCCACACUGGAACUGAGACACGGUCCAGACUCCUACGGGAGGCAGCAGUGGGGAAUAUUGCGCAAUGGGGGAAACCCUGACGCAGCAAUACCGCGUGAGUGAAGAAGGUUUUCGGAUCGUAAAGCUCUGUUAUUGGGGAAGAAAAAAAGACGGUACCCAAGAAGAAAGUCCCGGCUAACUACGUGCCAGCAGCCGCGGUAAUACGUAGGGGACAAGCGUUGUCCGGAUUUACUGGGCGUAAAGGGCACGCAGGCGGUUUUUUAAGUCAGAUGUGAAAGGUACCGGCUCAACCGGUGACAUGCAUUUGAAACUGAAAGACUUGAGUAUUGGAGAGGCAAGUGGAAUUCCUAGUGUAGCGGUGAAAUGCGUAGAUAUUAGGAGGAACACCGGUGGCGAAGGCGGCUUGCUGGACAAAUACUGACGCUGAGGUGCGAAAGCGUGGGGAGCAAACAGGAUUAGAUACCCUGGUAGUCCACGCCGUAAACGAUGAGUGCUAGGUGUUGGGGAGACUCAGUGCCGCAGUUAACACAAUAAGCACUCCGCCUGGGGAGUACGACCGCAAGGUUGAAACUCAAAGGAAUUGACGGGGACCCGCACAAGCAGCGGAGCAUGUGGUUUAAUUCGAAGCAACGCGAAGAACCUUACCAGGUCUUGACAUCCUCUGACAAUCCGAGAGAUCGGACGUUCCCUUCGGGGACAGAGAGACAGGUGGUGCAUGGUUGUCGUCAGCUCGUGUCGUGAGAUGUUGGGUUAAGUCCCGCAACGAGCGCAUCCCCUGUGGUUAGUUGCCAUCAUUAAGUUGGGCACUCUAAGCAGACUGCCGUGGAUAACACGGAGGAAGGUGGGGAUGACGUCAAAUCAUCAUGCCCCUUAUGACCUGGGCUACACACGUGCUACAAUGGUCUGGAACAGAGGGCAGCGAAACCGCGAGGCGAAGCUAAUCCCUUAAAACAGAUCUCAGUUCGGAUUGCAGGCUGAAACUCGCCUGCAUGAAGUUGGAGUUGCUAGUAAUCGCGGAUCAGAAUGCCGCGGUGAAUGCGUUCCCGGGUCUUGUACACACCGCCCGUCACACCACGAGAGUUGGCAACACCCGAAGUCAGUGAGACAACCGUAAGGAGUCAGCUGCCGAAGGUGGGGUCGGUAAUUGGGGUG
RNAcentral lists this ribosomal RNA (1432 nucleotides) under uncultured bacterium. RNAcentral describes it as "bacterial SSU rRNA". It matches the Rfam family "Bacterial small subunit ribosomal RNA". The record is from RNAcentral.